RNAcentral lists this ribosomal RNA (449 nucleotides) under uncultured archaeon. RNAcentral describes it as "partial 16S ribosomal RNA". It matches the Rfam family "Archaeal small subunit ribosomal RNA", at positions 330 to 747 of the family's 1478-position model. The record is from RNAcentral.
GUGCAGCAGGCGCGAAAACUUCGCAAUACGCGCAAGCGUGACGAGGGAACCCCAAGUACUCUUGCUUUUUGCAGGAGUUUUUGCCAAGUGUAAACAGCUUGGAGAAUAAGGGCGGGGUAAGGCCGGUGCCAGCCGCCGCGGUAAUACCGGCCGCCCGAGUAGUGACCACUAUUAUUGGGCCUAAAGCGUCCGUAGCCGGUUUUGUAAGUUUCUGGGUAAAUCCCACAGCUUAACUGCGGGAAUUCCAGAAAUACUGCAGAGCUAGGGGCCGGGAGACGCAGAAGGUACUCCUGGGGUAGGGGUGAAAUCCUAUAAUCCUAGGGGGACCACCAGUGGCGAAGGCGUUCUGCGAGAACGGGCUCGACGGUGAGGGACGAAAGCCAGGGGCGCAAACGGGAUUAGAUAUGAAGUUGAGUUUUUACCAGCUUCACUAGAAACCCCGGUAGUCC